This 348-nucleotide long non-coding RNA is filed under the name Coturnix japonica (Japanese quail). RNAcentral describes it as "lncRNA (ENSCJPG00005003796.1)". The record is from RNAcentral. Lineage: Eukaryota; Metazoa; Chordata; Aves; Galliformes; Phasianidae.
UUGCCUUUACUAGUUUGCCAGAUGGAUCUAAUUAUCUUAAAUGCAUAUUAUCUAAUUUAAUUGCAGUGUUGCCAGACAACCAUCUCUCCACAUGUACUUGCAGCAUCUUGUGACAUUCUUCAGAGAUGGACGUAAAUACAAUGAAGGUGUAUGGAAGAGUGCGUUUACUGUUUCUAAGCUGCAUUUGCAAAGAGCAUCUGAAGCCAUUCUUACCCUCCUUAGAAGAAGGUAGUGGUCAUCUCUCCUGAUUGCUGAGCAUGUCUCAUUCCCUCAGUCAGUCCUCACAGGACAAGUGUUUUGUCUCCACAUGUUCAAGCUGCUCCUUCACACUGAAGGCCUGUCCAUCCC